GACGAACGCUGGCGGCGUGCUUAACACAUGCAAGUCGAACGGAAAGGCCCUGCUCUUGCGGGGUGCUCGAGUGGCGAACGGGUGAGUAAAACGUGAGUAACCUGCCCUUGACUUUGGGAUAACAUCAGGAAACAGGGGCUAAUACCGGAUAGGAGCUCCUGCAGCAUGGGGGGGGAUGGUAAGUUUCGGCGGUUGGGGAUGGACUAGCGGCUUAUCAGCUUGUUGGUGGGGUAGUGGCUUACCAAGGCUUUGACGGGUAGCCGGCCUGGGAGGGUGACCGGCCACAUUGGGACUGCGAUACGGCCCAGACUCCUACGGGAGGCAGCAGUGGGGAAUAUUGCACAAUGGGCGGAAGCCUGAUGCAGCAACGCCGCGUGCGGGAUGCCGGCCUUCGGGUUGUAAACCGCUUUCGCCUGUGACGAAGCGUGAGUGACGGUAAUGGGUAAAGAAGCACCGGCUAACUACGUG
This 468-nucleotide ribosomal RNA is filed under the name uncultured bacterium. RNAcentral describes it as "partial 16S ribosomal RNA". It matches the Rfam family "Bacterial small subunit ribosomal RNA", at positions 28 to 507 of the family's 1533-position model. The record is from RNAcentral.